ACUUCCCGAGCAGCCUGUUUGAUAACCCCUCAGCA
This 35-nucleotide small RNA is filed under the name Neogale vison (American mink). Its description in RNAcentral is "Neovison vison (American mink) SPRY4-IT1 conserved region 2 (ENSNVIG00000021161.1)". The record is from RNAcentral. Lineage: Eukaryota; Metazoa; Chordata; Mammalia; Carnivora; Mustelidae.